UGGGGAAUUUUGGACAAUGGGGGCAACCCUGAUCCAGCCAUCCCGCGUGUGCGAUGAAGGCCUUCGGGUUGUAAAGCACUUUUGGCAGGGAAGAAACAGCCUGGGCUAAUAUCCCGGGCGACUGACGGUACCUGCAGAAUAAGCACCGGCUAACUACGUGCCAGCAGCCGCGGUAAUACGUAGGGUGCAAGCGUUAAUCGGAAUUACUGGGCGUAAAGCGUGCGCAGGCGGUUCGGAAAGAAAGGUGUGAAAUCCCAGGGCUUAACCUUGGAACCGCACUUUUAACUACCGGGCUAGAGUACGUCAGAGGGGGGUAGAAUUCCACGUGUAGCAGUGAAAUGCGUAGAGAUGUGGAGGAAUACCGAUGGCGAAGGCAGCCCCCUGGGAUGAUACUGACGCUCAUGCACGAAAGCGUGGGGAGCAAACA
This 427-nucleotide ribosomal RNA is filed under the name uncultured bacterium. RNAcentral's name for it is "bacterial SSU rRNA". It matches the Rfam family "Bacterial small subunit ribosomal RNA", at positions 355 to 774 of the family's 1533-position model. The record is from RNAcentral.